Gallus gallus (chicken) is the source of this 5288-nucleotide long non-coding RNA. NCBI's taxonomy places the organism in Eukaryota, Metazoa, Chordata, Aves, Galliformes, Phasianidae. The record is from Ensembl.
CCAGAAAUGGUCUGAUAUUAACUUCAGUUGAGUCAUUUAUUUACUGGUGUUUCGCUGAAAAAAUUGAUACAACACAUACAGGAAGCAUGAUAAACAUUUCAUUGCUGCAGAGACCAGCUUCAGGGAAGGAGAGGUGCUCCAGACCUCUGAUCAUCUUUGUGGCCCUUUUCUGGGCCCUCUCCAACAGCUCCACAUCCUUCCUGCAUUGAGGGUCCCAGACCUGGACACAGUACUCCAGAUGGGGCCUCACGAGGGCCUCCCUGUCCCUGCUGGCCAUCCCUCUUCUGAUGGAGCUCAGGAUACUCUUGGCCUUCACAGCUGCAAGAGCACACUGCUGGCUCAUGAAGUUUUUCAUCCACCAGGACUACCAGGUCCUUCCUUGCAGGGCUGCUCUCAAGGAGUUCUCCCAGUAUACGAAUCUGGGAUUACUCUGACCCAAGUGUAAAACCUUACACUUUGCUAUGUUGAACCUCAUUAGAUUCACACAGACCCACCUCUCAAGUUUGCUGAAGUCCCCCUGGAUGGCAUCCCUUCCUUCUAACAUGUCAAUCGUACCACUUAACUUGGUGUCAUCAGCAAACUUGCUGAGAGUGCACUUGAGACCAUCAUUGAUGUCACUGAUGAAGAUGUUGAAGAGACAGUGAGAGUUCAUACUGAGAGAUACUUCUAGCUCAAUGUGACCUGUUUAAACCAUCUCCCAUUCAUGAGUGUCAAGGAGAAAGAACAAAGAAAAUGCCUAACAACCCUUUCUGUAAAGAAGUGUUUCCUGAUGUCCAACCUAAACUUAUCCUGGAGCAACUUAAGGCCAUCUCUCCUUGUCCUGUCAGCAGUGAGAAGAGACCAGCCCCACUCUUGCUGUAAGCAACUUUCAGAUAUUGGAAGAGAGCAAGUUCUCCCCUCAGCCUCCUUUUCCCUAGACUGAGCAGUCCUAGUUCCUUCAGCGUCUCCUCGUAGGGCACAUUCGCCAAGCCUUUCACAAGCCCUGUUGCCCUUCUCUGGAUCUGCUCCAGCAUCUCAGUGUCCUUCUUGUACUGAGGUGCCCAAAACUGAACAAAGUACUUGAGGUGAGGCCUCAUCAGGGCCGAGUACAGGGGCAGGAUGACUUCCCUAGUCCUGCUCACCACACCGUUCCUGAUACAAACCAGGAUGCCAUUGGCCUUCUUGGCCACCUGGGCACACUGCUGGCUCAUACUCAGAUGACUGUCCAUCAGUACACCAAGGUCCCUUUCCAUCUGGCAGCUUUCCAGCCACUCCUCCCCAGGCCUGGAGGGUUGCCUGGUGUUGUUGUGACCAAAAUGCAGGACCCGACACUUGGCCCUACUGAAACUCAUACAGUUUGCCUUGGCCCAUUGAUCCAGUCUAUCCAGGUCCCUCUAUAGUGCCUUUCUCCCUUCAGGCAGAUCAGCACUCCCUCCCAACUUGGUGUUGUCUGCAAACUUACCGAGGGAGCACUCAAUCCCCUCGUCAAGAUCAUCAAUGAAGAUGUUAAAUUGAAGUGGCCCCAGUACUGAGCCCUGGGGGAAAGUGCUUGUGACCAGCCACCAACUAGAUUCAACUCCAUUUUCCACAACUCUUUGGGUCCUACCAUCCAGGCAGUGUUUCACCCAGCGGAGCAUACGCCCAUCCAAACCGUGGGCAGCCAGCUUCUCCAUGAGAAUGUUGUGGGAGACAGAGUCAAAGGCUUUACUGAAGUCCAGGUAGACCACACUGACAGCGUGACCCUCAUCCAUGAAACCGGUCACCUUGACAUAGAAUGAAAUCAGGUUGGUCAAAUGGGAUCUACCAUUCGUAAACCCAUGCUGACUGGGCCUGAUCCCCUGGUUGACCUUUAACUGGUCCAUGAUGGCUCCUGAGAUUAUCUGUUCUGUAACGUUCCCCGGCACCAAGGUGAGGCUGAUAGGUCUGUAGCUACUGGAUCAUCUUUCCGUUCCUUCUUUGAAGAUAGGCAUUACAUUUGCCAGUCUCCAGUGUACCAGGACAUCCCCAGUUAGCCAGGACUGCUGAAGAAUGAUGGAGCGUGGCUUGGCAGCCACAUCUGCCAACUCCCUCAUCGUUUUAGGGUGCAAUCCAUCCAGCACCAUGGACUUGUAAGCAUCCAGCUUUUGGAGCAGGUCCAAAACCACCUCAUCGUGGAUCAUGCAGGGCCUAUUCUGUUCCCCAUCCCUAUGUACCAGCACAGGGGGGCUGUGUUCCCAGGGAGUAACAAGUCUUACUAUUAAAGACUGAGGCAAAGAAGAUGGCUGAACUCAUUUAGUUUACAGGUGAAUCUAGCAGUGUCUUAUUUCUGGUCUGCACCAGGAAGCUGGUGGGUGAUUUGCUCACCACUGUGUUGUCUUCCUAUUACAUGUUCAGGUAACUGAAUUCACCCACGAGGACCAGGUAAUGUUGUCCUGAAUCUUUCUUGAGUAUUUACAAUGAAGUUUCGUCAGCCUAAUCAUACUUGUUAGCAAGUCAGUAACAGAUACUUAGCGUAAGAUCCUUUAUAUGAUGAUCCCUCUAAUUUUGAUCCAACAACAUUUGAACCAAACAAUUUGCGCAGCUACAGUCUUUCCAUAUUACUGGAACACUGAAAAGAUGUCAUCUAAAAGAAACUCUGAGGGAAGUGCAAUGAUAGUUGUAACUAUAAAAAUAAAUGGAUCUAACUUCAUAACUGAUUCUAUGGAAUUAAUUGUAGUGGUGGUCAUUGAAUACAGAUCCUGCUGAUACAACUACUGAAUUUUAAAAGAUUCAGCUCAGAAAAGCAAUAUGCACAAACAGAAGUCACUGCAUGUGACUAUUUCUUUACAAAUGGUGAAACUCAUCCAAGCAAGCUGCAUUAGUUAUGAAGAGUUGUUUUACAAAUGACUGUGCCAUCUCAUCCCACAUCUACUCCCUCCGGUGACAACCAACAUGUCUUGUAGUUUAAAUAGACACAAGUAAAGACUGAGACUAAGUGAGUCUGAUUUAAUCACCUUUAUAUUUUUUAAGUAAUGAAAAUGAAUUAAAUAUGUCCUGAAAUAAAAUGUCAUGAAAAGAACAUUUGUACAUUGGUUUUGGACCAUGUUUCAAAGAACAAAAUAAAUGAAAGGCUGUCACCUGCCAUCAAGACCUCAGUUUUUCUUCAUUCAUGUUCUUUAGCAAAGUCAAAGGCCAAACAGUGAAAAUAUAUUUUUAAUUGAAUUUUAAAACUCUACAGCCUAAUGAAGUUAGUGGAGUGCAUACAAAUCAUAUUAUUGAAUGCAGCUAGAAGCUUUGAUUCAUUUUGCCUUACAGCUAAAGAAGAAUGUGUGCUCAUUGUAGGAGUAAUAAACAUGGAUAAUUAUGCAUAAUUACAGAGAUUCCUUUCCAAUUAAAGUUCAAUUUCUGUAACAAUUUUACCCAAAAGUCUUUUAAGUUUUUUGGUAGCAGUAAUGAAGGUAACUCAAGGUAAUAAGGAUUCUUAUGAUAAUAGGAAGAAAAUAAAUAAAUAAAACUGCAGGUCUGGGUAGUAUGAAUGCUUUGUUGUCAGCGUUAAGUUUUAAACUUCAUACUUGCUUUUGCUUCAACACUUGAAACACUUCCCUAUAGCAUUAUCGUAAGUCAGAAAAAUGUAUUCUUCUGUCGUAUACAUAGAAACAUUCUGCUAGCAUACUGAAAAAAGUUUCUUUUUUUUUGUUUUGCAUUUGAUAAAAGAAAACGAGGAGUAUUUGCAAGUCAGUUAUUUAUAUCUUUGCCAGUCCUGUAAAUCUUAUUCCAUCUGAGUUCCUUUAUUUCACUGCAUAUUCAUUAUUUUAAUGAGCUUAAAAUAUUUCUCAUUUUAUUAAUAAAAAUAACAUUAAAUUACAAAAAUACAAACUAUUAUAAUUAACAUUUCCACAUGACAUUCUUAAGAACGUUUUCCACAGUAAUAAGUAUCAUGACAGAGUAUAAAUAUCACUCAGUCUCUCGUUAUAUAAUUUCACGUACAUUCAACUUUUUCUAAAUAUAUUUGAUAAACCACAAACCUAUUAUAGUAAUAUAAGCAAUGUCUUAAAGUGAUACUCUGGUGCAAGAAUAAGUAGCUCUUCAAUUUGAAAACAUUUUUCAAACCUGAUCAUUACUUAUACAGGGAGGGGCAUUGCAAAUAAACUAACUGUAUAAGUUUGUGACCACCUGAGCAAUCUGAGUAUCCGUAAGUCUAUAGGUCCCAACAAGAUGAAUCUCAGAGUCCUGAGGGAGUUGGCUGAUGUACUCACUAAGCCAUUCUCAAUAAUGUUUAAAAGGUCAUGGCAGUCAGGCAAAGUCCCUGGUGACUGCAAAAAAAGGCAACAAUUUUUAGAAGGGUAAAAAGGAUGAGCCAGAGAAUUACGGACCUGACAGCCUCACCUCUGUAUUGGAGAAGAUCCAGGAGCAGAUCCUCCUGGAAGCUAUGCUAAGACAUGUGGAAGAGAAGGAGGUAAUGUGGGACAGCAAGCAUUGUUUCACCAAGAUCAAGUCCUGCUUGACCAACCUUGUGGCUGUCUAUAGUGGUGUAACACAUCAGUGGAAAAGGGGAGAACCACUAAUUUAAUCUAUCUGAACUUUAGUGAGGACUUUUACAUGGUCCUCUCCAAAACCCUUCUCUCCAAAUUGGAAAGAUAUGGAUUUGAUGAGUGGACUGUUCAGUGGAUAAGGAAUGCGUUGCAAGAUGAUACCCAAAGCGUACUGGUCGAUGGCAGUGUCCAAAAGGAGAUAACUGAUGAGAGGUGUAGCUGACACACCAGAAACUGGUCAAAGGUGGUGAUUCUGCUUCUCUAAUCUGCACUGGUUACACCUCACAUGGAAUACUGUGUCUAGAUAUGGAGUCUUCAGUACCUGAGAAACACUGACUAGUUGGAGUCCAUCCAGGUGGCUACAGGAUGAAGGGUAAUUUGAUCCAAUGAUGAAAUACUAAUGUAAUGUUGAGAUUAUUUUUUUCCUGUGCUUUUGUAAUUUCAAGGUCCUGUUGAUGUCGGUGUUUUCAGAUACAUACACACAUAAUUAUUUCUAUUAUGAAUUAAAAUAAAACAGGUUAAAUUUUAUGUAAAAUGAAAACUUCAUGAAAAAAGGACUGUUCAGCAUAAAUCAAAAUGUAUUUGGAUGAUUUACAAUAUUUUAUUUAAUAUCUAUGAGCACAUAAGUACAAAUCUUAAUUUUUGUUUGUUUUUAAGUGUAAGUAAAUAUGUAAUUUCAUACAUUUCAUCAUUUAUACGUAUAUAUAUAUAAUUUUAUCAGAGUGUUUGUUUGAUCAUAACAGUUUUAAUCAACACAAAACCUGAUAUUUUCAUGUGGAAUAUUUAUAUUAUAUCUCAACAAAUAAAGUAAUUGUAAAG